AUACGGAGGGUGCAAGCGUUAAUCGGAAUUACUGGGCGUAAAGCGUACGUAGGCGGUUCGUUAAGUUAGAUGUGAAAGCCCCGGGCUUAACCUGGGAACUGCAUUUAAAACUGGCGAACUAGAGUUGAGUAGAGGGGAGUGGAAUUUCAGGUGUAGCGGUGAAAUGCGUAGAGAUCUGAAGGAACACCAGUGGCGAAGGCGACUCCCUGGACUCAAACUGACGCUGAGGUACGAAAGCGUGGGUAGCAAACGGGAUUAGAAACCCCUGUAGUCC
RNAcentral lists this ribosomal RNA (274 nucleotides) under uncultured bacterium. Its description in RNAcentral is "partial 16S ribosomal RNA". It matches the Rfam family "Bacterial small subunit ribosomal RNA", at positions 523 to 796 of the family's 1533-position model. The record is from RNAcentral.